UUAACUCAAAUUGGUAUGGAAUAUACGUUUGCCUACGUUUGCCGCUAGGGGCGCUGUUCCAACUGCAUGCAAAUUUUAGUUA
This 82-nucleotide microRNA precursor is filed under the name Bombyx mori (domestic silkworm). RNAcentral describes it as "mir-2807 microRNA precursor family". It matches the Rfam family "mir-2807 microRNA precursor family". The record is from Rfam by way of RNAcentral. Lineage: Eukaryota; Metazoa; Arthropoda; Insecta; Lepidoptera; Bombycidae.